CGAUACGACCGUACCGCAAACCGACACUGGUGCGCGAGAUGAGUAUUCUAAGGCGCUUGAGAGAACUCAGGAGAAGGAACUCGGCAAAUUGACACCGUAACUUCGGAAGAAGGUGUGCCCUAUUAGUGUGUAGUGAACAACGAAGCAUGAAUGGGUUGCAAAAAAUCGGUGGCUGCGACUGUUUAUUAAAAACACAGCACUCUGCAAACACGAAAGUGGACGUAUAGGGUGUGACGCCUGCCCGGUGCUGGAAGAUUAAAUGAUGGGGUGCAAGCUCUUGAUUGAAGUCCCAGUAAACGGCGGCCGUAACUAUAACGGUCCUAAGGUAGCGAAAUUCCUUGUCGGGUAAGUUCCGACCUGCACGAAUGGCGUAACGAUGGCCACACUGUCUCCUCCUGAGACUCAGCGAAGUUGAAAUGUUUGUGAUGAUGCAAUCUCCCCGCGGAAAGACGGAAAGACCCCAUGAACCUUUACUGUAGCUUUGUAUUGGACUUUGAACAGAUCUGUGUAGGAUAGGUGGGAGGCUUUGAAGCAGGGUCGCUAGAUCUUGUGGAGCCAACGUUGAAAUACCACCCUGGUGUGUUUGAGGUUCUAACCUAGGUCCAUUAUCUGGAUCGGGGACAGUGCAUGGUAGGCAGUUUGACUGGGGCGGUCUCCUCCCAAAGCGUAACGGAGGAGUUCGAAGGUACGCUAGUUACGGUCGGACAUCGUGACGAUAGUGCAACGGCAUAAGCGUGCUUAACUGCGAGACUGACAAGUCGAGCAGAUGCGAAAGCAGGACAUAGUGAUCCGGUGUUCUGUAUGGAAGGGCCAUCGCUCAACGGAUAAAAGGUACUCUGGGGAUAACAGGCUGAUACCGCCCAAGAGUUCAUAUCGACGGCGGUGUUUGGCACCUCGAUGUCGGCUCAUCUCAUCCUGGGGCUGUAGCCGGUCCCAAGGGUAUGGCUGUUCGCCAUUUAAAGAGGUACGUGAGCUGGGUUUAAAACGUCGUGAGACAGUUUGGUCCCUAUCUUCCGUGGGCGCUGCAGAUUUGAGGAAGCCUGCUCCUAGUACGAGAGGACCGGAGUGGACACACCUCUGGUGUAUCGGUUGUCACGCCAGUGGCAUUGCCGAGUAGCUAAGUGUGGAAGAGAUAACCGCUGAAAGCAUCUAAGCGGGAAACUCGUCUCAAGAUGGGAUCUGCCGGGGCCUUGAGCCCCCUAAAGAGUCGUUCAAGACCAGGACGUUGAUAGGUCAGGUGUGGAAGCG
Molecule: ribosomal RNA, 1248 nt
Filed under: metagenome
Description: bacterial LSU rRNA
Rfam family: Bacterial large subunit ribosomal RNA
Source: RNAcentral